This 242-nucleotide long non-coding RNA is filed under the name Rattus norvegicus (Norway rat). RNAcentral's name for it is "long non-coding RNA NONRATT008538". The record is from RNAcentral. Lineage: Eukaryota; Metazoa; Chordata; Mammalia; Rodentia; Muridae.
ACCACCAGAUCCCAUAGCAACAAGCUGGUCACAGACUGCAUUGCAGCCAUGAACCCUGACAACGUGCUGCGAGUGGGAGGAGCAGGAAACAAGAUUAUCCAGCUGAUUGAAGGCAAAGCCUCUGCUUAUGUAUUUGCAAGUCCUGGAUGUAAGAAAUGGGAUACUUGUGCCCCAGAAGUUAUCUUACAUGCUGUAGGAGGUUUGUGGCUUUUGUAUUGUACUCAGACAUCAUUUCAGCACUU